GAGAAGUUCUCCAGCUUCUUACAAGAGGAGUGGUGAGAAUUUAACACGGUCAACACGGAGGUCUAGUCCUCCUGAGGAUCGCCCAAACAUGUCUGACAGACUGAACCUGGUGUUGUACGGGAGUGAUGGAUCAGUGAAGACCUCCAUAUCAGAGUUCAUACUGGGCCAGAGAGAGUCCAGUUCAGAGGCCAGCUCAGUGUGUGUUAGGAGGGAGGGAAAGGUGUGUGGACGCCUGCUUACU
Long non-coding RNA from Chanos chanos (milkfish), 241 nucleotides. RefSeq lists it as uncharacterized. The record is from RefSeq and is a predicted model, not a curated record. Lineage: Eukaryota; Metazoa; Chordata; Actinopteri; Gonorynchiformes; Chanidae. The transcript is spliced from 3 exons.